AGUUUAAGUAGUGUAAAAUAUAACACAUUAAGUUGUAAACUUAAAAAAACCUAAGUCUAAACUU
Molecule: transfer RNA, 64 nt
Filed under: Hyalella cuprea
Lineage: Eukaryota; Metazoa; Arthropoda; Malacostraca; Amphipoda; Hyalellidae
Description: tRNA-Tyr
Source: RNAcentral